Long non-coding RNA from Sapajus apella (tufted capuchin), 304 nucleotides. RefSeq lists it as uncharacterized. The transcript is spliced from 3 exons. NCBI's taxonomy places the organism in Eukaryota, Metazoa, Chordata, Mammalia, Primates, Cebidae. The record is from RefSeq and is a predicted model, not a curated record.
GUGGUAGGAGCGGUGUGGACUGAAAAAGGAAAGUGAUGUACAGAAAAUGGAAGUGAGGUACCGAAACAGCCAGAUUAGUUAAGCUUGGGGUUUGCAGUAUGUGAACCUGGUUGAAGAGUUGGCCACCUUAGACUGGCCAAAACUCAGUGAUUGGCACAAGAGUAGGCCACAGUCUUGUUUACGAUUCCAUUUAGCUUAUUGCUCAUGAUGUACAGAGGAACCUUUAGGAUGAAAUUAAAACGUGCAAGGAGGUAGCUUUUGGCUACACUUGAUUUGAAAGCAAGAGAUGCUUGGUGGAGGCUAC